GACGAACCGUGCGAACGUUGUUCGGAUUCACUGGGCUUAAAGGGCGCGUAGGCGGGCUCACCAGUCAGGGGUGAAAGCUCCCGGCUCAACCGGGAAAGUGCCUUUGAUACUGUGAGUCUCGAGGGAGGUAGGGGCACGCGGAACUUCCGGUGGAGCGGUGAAAUGCGUAGAUAUCGGGAGGAACACCGGUGGCGAAGGCGGCCUUCUGGACGGAUACUGACGCUGAGACGCGAAAGCGUGGGGAGCAAACAGG
RNAcentral lists this ribosomal RNA (253 nucleotides) under uncultured bacterium. RNAcentral describes it as "partial 16S ribosomal RNA". It matches the Rfam family "Bacterial small subunit ribosomal RNA", at positions 524 to 776 of the family's 1533-position model. The record is from RNAcentral.